Long non-coding RNA from Bufo bufo (common toad), 119 nucleotides. RefSeq lists it as uncharacterized. The record is from RefSeq and is a predicted model, not a curated record. NCBI's taxonomy places the organism in Eukaryota, Metazoa, Chordata, Amphibia, Anura, Bufonidae. The transcript has 3 exons.
UGUGCAUGAAUAAAGAAUGUCGUCUAUUGUGAUUUCUUCCUUUAACGCCCGGGGAAUGAACGAGCCUUGCAAACGGUCCCAAAUCCUGGCCCUUUUACAGAGGGAUAAAGUGUCUAUAG